AGGUGCGAUCAUACCAGCACUAAUGCACCGGAUCCCAUCAGAACUCCGCAGUUAAGCGUGCUUGGGCGAGAGUAGUACUAGGAUGGGUGACCUCCUGGGAAGUCCUCGUGUUGCACCAC
Molecule: ribosomal RNA, 119 nt
Organism: Lupinus angustifolius (narrow-leaved blue lupine)
Lineage: Eukaryota; Viridiplantae; Streptophyta; Magnoliopsida; Fabales; Fabaceae
Source: Rfam